AACGAACGCUGGCGGCAUGCCUAACACAUGCAAGUCGAACGAGACCUUCGGGUCUAGUGGCGCACGGGUGCGUAACGCGUGGGAACCUUCCCUUAGGUUCGGAAUAACUCCCCGAAAGGGGUGCUAAUACCGGAUAAUUUCUUCGGACCAAAGAUUUAUCGCCUUUGGAUGGGCCCGCGUUGGAUUAGCUAUUUGGUAGGGUAAAAGCCUACCAAGGCUACGAUCCAUAGCUGGUCUGAGAGGAUGAUCAGCCACACUGGGACUGAGACACGGCCCAGACUCCUACGGGAGGCAGCAGUGGGGAAUAUUGGACAAUGGGCGAAAGCCUGAUCCAGCAAUGCCGCGUGAGUGAUGAAGGCCUUAGGGUUGUAAAGCUCUUUUACCCGGGAUGAUAAUGACAGUACCGGGAGAAUAAGCUCCGGCUAACUCCGUG
RNAcentral lists this ribosomal RNA (433 nucleotides) under uncultured bacterium. RNAcentral's name for it is "partial 16S ribosomal RNA". It matches the Rfam family "Bacterial small subunit ribosomal RNA", at positions 29 to 507 of the family's 1533-position model. The record is from RNAcentral.